Molecule: transfer RNA, 69 nt
Filed under: Zoodes fulguratus
Lineage: Eukaryota; Metazoa; Arthropoda; Insecta; Coleoptera; Cerambycidae
Description: tRNA-Asp
Rfam family: tRNA
About the family: Transfer RNA (tRNA) molecules are approximately 80 nucleotides in length. Their secondary structure includes four short double-helical elements and three loops (D, anti-codon, and T loops).
Source: RNAcentral
AAAAAUUUAGUUAAACAGAUAACAUUAGCUUGUCAAGCUAAAAUCAUUAAAUUAAAUUAAUAAUUUUUA